AGAGUUUGAUCCUGGCUCAGGACGAACGCUGGCGGCGUGCCUAAUACAUGCAAGUCGAACGCUUUUUCUUUCACCGGAGCUUGCUCCACCGAAAGAAAAAGAGUGGCGAACGGGUGAGUAACACGUGGGUAACCUGCCCAUCAGAAGGGGAUAACACUUGGAAACAGGUGCUAAUACCGUAUAACACUAUCUUCCGCAUGGAAGAAAGUUGAAAGGCGCUUUUGCGUCACUGAUGGAUGGACCCGCGGUGCAUUAGCUAGUUGGUGAGGUAACGGCUCACCAAGGCAACGAUGCAUAGCCGACCUGAGAGGGUGAUCGGCCACACUGGGACUGAGACACGGCCCAGACUCCUACGGGAGGCAGCAGUAGGGAAUCUUCGGCAAUGGACGAAAGUCUGACCGAGCAACGCCGCGUGAGUGAAGAAGGUUUUCGGAUCGUAAAACUCUGUUGUUAGAGAAGAACAAGGAUGAGAGUAAAAUGUUCAUCCCUUGACGGUAUCUAACCAGAAAGCCACGGCUAACUACGUGCCAGCAGCCGCGGUAAUACGUAGGUGGCAAGCGUUGUCCGGAUUUAUUGGGCGUAAAGCGAGCGCAGGCGGUUUCUUAAGUCUGAUGUGAAAGCCCCCGGCUCAACCGGGGAGGGUCAUUGGAAACUGGGAGACUUGAGUGCAGAAGAGGAGAGUGGAAUUCCAUGUGUAGCGGUGAAAUGCGUAGAUAUAUGGAGGAACACCAGUGGCGAAGGCGGCUCUCUGGUCUGUAACUGACGCUGAGGCUCGAAAGCGUGGGGAGCGAACAGGAUUAGAUACCCUGGUAGUCCACGCCGUAAACGAUGAGUGCUAAGUGUUGGAGGGUUUCCGCCCUUCAGUGCUGCAGCAAACGCAUUAAGCACUCCGCCUGGGGAGUACGACCGCAAGGUUGAAACUCAAAGGAAUUGACGGGGGCCCGCACAAGCGGUGGAGCAUGUGGUUUAAUUCGAAGCAACGCGAAGAACCUUACCAGGUCUUGACAUCCUUUGACCACUCUAGAGAUAGAGCUUCCCCUUCGGGGGCAAAGUGACAGGUGGUGCAUGGUUGUCGUCAGCUCGUGUCGUGAGAUGUUGGGUUAAGUCCCGCAACGAGCGCAACCCUUAUUGUUAGUUGCCAUCAUUUAGU
RNAcentral lists this ribosomal RNA (1150 nucleotides) under Enterococcus sp. 5B3_DIV0040. RNAcentral describes it as "bacterial SSU rRNA". It matches the Rfam family "Bacterial small subunit ribosomal RNA", at positions 8 to 1129 of the family's 1533-position model. Lineage: Bacteria; Bacillati; Bacillota; Bacilli; Lactobacillales; Enterococcaceae. The record is from RNAcentral.